This is a long non-coding RNA of Homarus americanus (American lobster), 272 nucleotides long. RefSeq lists it as uncharacterized. The record is from RefSeq and is a predicted model, not a curated record. The transcript is spliced from 3 exons. NCBI's taxonomy places the organism in Eukaryota, Metazoa, Arthropoda, Malacostraca, Decapoda, Nephropidae.
GGUAGUGAGGUACAGUACUGGUAGUAAUAGAUACUGUACCAAGGAGGUACAGUACUGGUAGUAAUAGAUACUGUACCAAGGAUGUACAGUACUGGUAGUGAGGUACAGUACUGGUAGUAAUAGAUACUGUACCAAGGAGGUACAGUACUGGUAGUGAGGUACAGUACUGGUAGUAAUAGAUACUGUACCAAGGAGGUACAGUACUGGUAGUGAGGUACAGUACUGGUAGUAAUAGAUACUGUACCAAGGAGGUACAGUACUGGUAGUGAGGU